Molecule: long non-coding RNA, 1068 nt
Filed under: Heterocephalus glaber (naked mole-rat)
Lineage: Eukaryota; Metazoa; Chordata; Mammalia; Rodentia; Bathyergidae
Description: lncRNA (ENSHGLG00100049080.1)
Source: RNAcentral
CUGUAGUGUCCAGUACAAGCUGGUAUCAGGAGGCUGAAGGGUCUGAGCUGGAAACCAGAAGAUCACAUCCAAGUGCUGGAGAUCAAACCCAGAGACUAACAUAUGCUAGAAAUGGACAUGGAUUUAGAAUUCAGACUUUUGAGAUGAUUUUAAGGGUAAAUGCUGUAGAAAGUUGUGGAAGGAAGCAAAAUCAGUCAGAGGAAGAAAAAUGGAAACCAGACGCAGCCUCAACAAAGAACCCAGUCAACCAGACUGGGAGCUCAGGAGCUAAAACUGCCCUUCAAAGUUGCUCUUUAUAAGAUUAAAAUGUCCCAGCCUUUCUGCUCUUGCUUCACUCAGUCUCCAGAUGCAAGCUGCCUUGGGAAGGGCAGGACCUUAACAAGGUGGCUUUUCACACCUGAAGCACACCCAGCUAGCAGCUGGAGGCCCUGUGCAGACUGUAUUCUCCACAGCUGGGCAGGACAGUUGCCCCACGAAGCCCACCCAGGAUUGGCUCCACACACACUGUGGAUAGUGAAAUCCAUGGAUGCUCAAAUCCUUUAUAUAAAAUGGUACAGUAUUUGCAUAUAACUUCACACAUUCUCCCAUAUACUUUCUUUUUUUUCAGUACCAGGGAUCAAACUCAGGACCUUGCACUUACAAGGCAGGCAUGGCACCACUGAUCUAAAUCCCUGGCCCUCCCAUAUACUUUAAAUCAUCUCUAGAUUAUUUAAUACAAUGUAAUGCAAUGUAAAUAUUGUAUCAUUUAGGGAACAGUGAUAAGAAAAAAGUAUGUACAUGUUCAGUAUAGAUGGAAUUUUUUCCCUGAAUGUUUUCCACCCACAGUUGUUUGAAUCCACACACAGGGAGGGCCAACUACACAUGCCAGGACGGGGGGUGUGGGGUGCAUCUCUUUGUCCAUCACCGUGUGACUUGUAGUUUAUGUAUACAAACCUACUGUAUGCUUGGCAACACAGUCAUGUGUUUUAAAAAUAAGGACAAUAUAAAAGUUUACAGUGAAAAAUCUGUCCUACCCACGAUCUGCAUAUAUUUUCAGCAGUUCUUUAUGCAAGUAAGGCAAAUAUAUAU